GAUGAACGCUGGCGGCGUGCCUAAUACAUGCAAGUCGAGCGAACGGACGAUAAGCUUGCUUUUCUGAUGUUAGCGGCGGACGGGUGAGUAACACGUGGAUAACCUACCUAUAAGACUGGGAUAACUUCGUGAAACCGGAGCUAAUACCGGAUAAUAUUUUGAACCGCAUGGUUCAAAAGUGAAAGACGGUCUUGCUGUCACUUAUAGAUGGAUCCGCGCUGCAUUAGCUAGUUGGUAAGGUAACGGCUUACCAAGGCAACGAUGCAUAGCCGACCUGAGAGGGUGAUCGGCCACACUGGAACUGAGACACGGUCCAGACUCCUACGGGAGGCAGCAGUAGGGAAUCUUCCGCAAUGGGCGAAAGCCUGACGGAGCAACGCCGCGUGAGUGAUGAAGGUCUUCGGAUCGUAAAACUCUGUUAUUAGGGAAGAACAUAUGUGUAAGUAACUGUGCACAUCUUGACGGUACCUAAUCAGAAAGCCACGGCUAACUACGUG
RNAcentral lists this ribosomal RNA (497 nucleotides) under uncultured bacterium. RNAcentral's name for it is "partial 16S ribosomal RNA". It matches the Rfam family "Bacterial small subunit ribosomal RNA", at positions 28 to 507 of the family's 1533-position model. The record is from RNAcentral.